RNAcentral lists this ribosomal RNA (253 nucleotides) under uncultured bacterium. RNAcentral describes it as "partial 16S ribosomal RNA". It matches the Rfam family "Bacterial small subunit ribosomal RNA", at positions 524 to 776 of the family's 1533-position model. The record is from RNAcentral.
UACAGAGGGGGCAAGCGUUGUUCGGAAUUACUGGGCGUAAAGGGCGCGUAGGCGGCCUGCUAAGUCGAACGUGAAAUCCCCGGGCUCAACCCGGGAACUGCGUCCGAUACUGGUGGGCUUGAAUCCGGGAGAGGGAUGUGGAAUUCCAGGUGUAGCGGUGAAAUGCGCAGAUAUCGGGAGGAACACCAAUGGCGAAGGCAGCUCGCUGGGACGGUACUGACGCUGAGACGCGAAAGCGUGGGGAGCAAACAGG